RNAcentral lists this non-coding RNA (29 nucleotides) under Rattus norvegicus (Norway rat). The record is from RNAcentral. Lineage: Eukaryota; Metazoa; Chordata; Mammalia; Rodentia; Muridae.
UUCCAGGAUGGCCUAAAGCUACACGGAGA